GGAAUUCAGUAGUCCAGCAGAGACAAGGUGGUGGCAGCUCCAUGGCCCCUGGUCCAGCCAGUAGCAAGAUUUACUAUGGAUCUGUCACUGUUCACAUCACCAACUAAAAUAAUUGACAGUAUGGGUCCCAGUGUGUCCCUGAUACUAUUAUCAGCCACCAACAGGACACAAGCUCAUUGAUUCCCACCAUCUGAGCUUAGCAAUCCAUCCGUUUUUCAGCACCCAAAACAGUACUGUGUUCCAGACCUCAGCUUCCAAAUGAGAAUGCAAUGAGAGAUGGUGUUACAAGACCUACCAGCAUCCAACAGUAUCAUAGUCACCACUCUCCCCUCAUCCAUACAGACAGCAAUUUCUUUGCAAAAGGCAAGAAGACUGGAUAAGCAUCAUCCUUGAAAAAAAUCAUAUUGACUGCUCCUGGUUUCUGUCCUGUUCUUUACAUCUCAGUAAACAGACUGAUUCCAUUACUUCAAGAUCUGUCUGGGGACAGAGCAGACAGCUGGAAGUUGGAAGGCUGCCAAGCUGAAGGGAAGUGGAAACCAUAUUUUCUGUAAUGCAGUCAACAGUCCUUAAUCAGGCCCAGGACCCUAAGGGCUCUAAGAACAAACCCCAAAUAGUCAAGAUGUUUCUAAGGUAAUAUUAAGGAAUUUUCCAACAUAAAACAUUUUUGCUUCAAAUGGACUGAAAACCCAAACUAUUCUAUGAUUCUACAAGAAAGAGAGACUCCAUGUUAUUUCAAAGUCAAAGAAUCAAAUAAGACAUCUUUACAAGUAUCCAGUAUGAUGACAUCUAAAAUUUCCAUACAAAAUGCUUUCUUGCUUAUAUUGAUCUCAGAAAGCUUUGGUUGAUAAGGAACAGUGUAUAGAACCCAAUGCAUCAGACUUGCAUAGUUUAAUACACAAGGAGAGCCUAUUGGUGAAGACUUCUUGUUCCAGAAGCAGGAUGCACCAUGCUCACAGGCUCUUGUCCUGCUGGGGGACUUCACCCACCCUGACAUCUUCCAGAAAAUUAGCACAAUAAACUGUAGCAAUCCAAGAGACUCCUGGAAUGCAUGAAAGAUAAUUUCAUGAGCCAAGUAGAGAGCCCUACAAGAGGGAAUGUGUUACUGGAUCUGAUGGUCACCAACGUAAGCAAGCAAAUUGGGGACAUCAAAACUGAAGGCUGCCUGGGCUACAGGGAUCAUAUAUUGUUGGAAUUUGGAGUCCUGAGGGAAAUUUGCUGAUGACACCAAGCUGAUUGCUGUGGCUGACACACCUGGAGGACAGGAUACCAUCCAGAGGUACCUGGACAAGCUCAAGAAACAGAUCUAUGGGAACCUCAGAGAUUUAACAAGACUAAGAGCGAGGUUCUGUACCUAGGUUGGGGCAGCCCCCUGUAUCAAUCAAGGCUAAAGGGAUGAACAGCUUAAAAGCAGCCCUUCUGAGAAUGACUGAGGGGUGCCAGUGGACAAGAGGCUGGACCUGAGCUGGUAAUGUGCACUUGCAGCCCAGAAAGCCAAUUUUUUGGGCUGCAUCAAAAGGAGUGUGAUCAGCAGGUUGAGGGAUGUGAUUCUGCCUCUCUACUCCACUCUGGUGAGAUCCCACCUGGAGUACUGCAUUAGGCUCUGGAGUGCCCAGCACAGGAAAGAUGUGGACCUGUUAGAGUGAGUCCGGAGGAGGCCAUCAAGAUGAUUAGAGGGAUGAAACUCCUCUCCUGUGAGGAAAGGCUGAGAGAAUUAGGAUUGUUCAGCCUGGAGAAUAGAAGUCUUCAAGGUGACUUCAUUUCAACCUUCCAGGGCCUAAAGGAGACUAAAAGAAAGAUGGAGAAAGACUAUUAGCAAGAGCAUGUAGAGAGAGGACAAUGAAGAAAGACUUUAAACUGAAAGUACUUCUCAGGAUGCUGGAAUAACUUUGACCGGCUUUGAAAACUACAAGCUAAGACUUCUUAAAAAAAAUUGAGUUACAUGCUGUAAUUCAUCAUAGACAUAGAUGGACAGACCUUCUAUUUAAAGGUAACUCUUUAACGUGUCUUAAAAGUGCUUUAGCUGACAUAGAAUGAAUUAUGAAAGUAGCUCAUGAUUAUUCCAAUUGUUAUAUUUUUGUAUGCUCAGUCUGUCACCUGGUCACUCAGCUCAUUCUACUUAGGUCAUAUGAAAAUAUUUUUUAAAAUAUAGUGCAGAACACUUUAUAUAACUAUGCAGUUUUAAAUUCUUUGAUGAACAAUAGCUGCACACAGUAUUUUCUUGAUUCCAAAGUAUCAGGAAUGAUCCACAGAAUAGUACUUCAUCUGGCAAUUGACCAGCUAACCCAUACACAGAAUAGUUCUAUGAAUGACAAUUAAAAUAAUGUGCAGAUAUUGAAAGGCAAAUGAAAGCAAUGGGCAUUUCUACUGAAGUGAAAGAAAGUAAAAGUGGCUGUAAAAUGGAAAAAUAUCAGUGAAUCAAACCGAGUAUCCUUGUACAAAAAUCUAGUGAGUUUUAGUAUGUAUUUUACUUUCUAUUCUGGUCUGUAGUUUUUAAUGCUGCUUCUAUAAGAUCUUACAGAAGCAUUUUGUUCUUGCUCACUUUUAGAGUUGGGAUGUUUUUCGGAAGGACUACAUUGUCAAAAUUAUUUUCUGUAUUUCCCAGUAUAUAUUGCAUUUUAAUCUCCAGUUUGUGUCUUUUUUGUAUUUCAAAUGUGUGAACUAUUCCAGGUGUUUUUUCAAAAAUUGCUGAUUUUAGCAAGCAGAGAUUUUGAUGUGACUCUUAUCUGAAUUGUUGCUGACAAUGUAAUAUCUGUAUUUUUCCAGCCUGAAUGAGUUCUCAUGGCUGGUAUUUUUCUACAGAGUUGCACAUAUUGUUUUUUUCUUAGGAAAGUUGCAAUGUCAUAUAUUAUGUGUGUGGCUGGUGUUAUCACUAUCUAUAAGCAAAUGUCAGAAAAGUGUCAUUUAAUGGACAAAGUUAAAACAAUACAAUUUUAAGAAAUGUAUACAAAAAAAUUUAAUUUUUAUGCAUUUUAUAGGUUUUUUUUAGAAAAAAUAGCUGCGUAUAUAAUUAUUAAGGAAAUCAUUGAUUUAUUAAUAUAACAUAGGGAACAUUUAAAUUUUCAUAGUUUACUUUUUGAGGGAAACAUGUGACACAUGACUACCACUU
Long non-coding RNA from Lepidothrix coronata (blue-crowned manakin), 3106 nucleotides. RefSeq lists it as uncharacterized. The record is from RefSeq and is a predicted model, not a curated record. The transcript has 5 exons. Lineage: Eukaryota; Metazoa; Chordata; Aves; Passeriformes; Pipridae.